UACGUAGGACCCGAGCGUUGUCCGGAUUUACUGGGUGUAAAGGGUGCGCAGGCGGAUCUGUGCGUCGGAGGUUAAAGACCCGGGCUCAACCCGGGAAGUGCCUUCGAUACGGCGGAUCUUGAGUAUGAGAGAGGAGGGUAGAAUUCCUGGUGUAGCGGUGAAAUGCGUAGAUAUCAGGAGGAAUACCAGUGGCGAAGGCGGCCCUCUGGCUCAUUACUGACGCUCAGGCACGAAAGCGUGGGUAGCAAACAGG
RNAcentral lists this ribosomal RNA (253 nucleotides) under uncultured bacterium. RNAcentral's name for it is "partial 16S ribosomal RNA". It matches the Rfam family "Bacterial small subunit ribosomal RNA", at positions 524 to 776 of the family's 1533-position model. The record is from RNAcentral.